Molecule: transfer RNA, 76 nt
Filed under: Camelus bactrianus (Bactrian camel)
Lineage: Eukaryota; Metazoa; Chordata; Mammalia; Artiodactyla; Camelidae
Also listed under: 2 other names
Rfam family: tRNA
About the family: Transfer RNA (tRNA) molecules are approximately 80 nucleotides in length. Their secondary structure includes four short double-helical elements and three loops (D, anti-codon, and T loops). Further hydrogen bonds mediate the characteristic L-shaped molecular structure. tRNAs have two regions of fundamental functional importance: the anti-codon, which is responsible for specific mRNA codon recognition, and the 3' end, to which the tRNAs corresponding amino acid is attached (by aminoacyl-tRNA synthetases). tRNAs cope with the degeneracy of the genetic code in two manners: having more than one tRNA (with a specific anti-codon) for a particular amino acid; and 'wobble' base-pairing, i.e. permitting non-standard base-pairing at the 3rd anti-codon position.
Source: Rfam by way of RNAcentral
GGGUGUACAGCUCAGUGGUAGAGCACAUGCUUAGUUAGCAUGCUCCAGGUCCUGGGUUCAAGCCCCAAUACCUCCA